Molecule: transfer RNA, 74 nt
Filed under: Fodinibius salsisoli
Lineage: Bacteria; Pseudomonadati; Balneolota; Balneolia; Balneolales; Balneolaceae
Description: tRNA-Pro
Rfam family: tRNA
About the family: Transfer RNA (tRNA) molecules are approximately 80 nucleotides in length. Their secondary structure includes four short double-helical elements and three loops (D, anti-codon, and T loops).
Source: RNAcentral
CGGGACAUGGCGCAGCCCGGUAGCGCGCACGACUGGGGGUCGUGAGGUCGCAGGUUCAAAUCCUGUUGUCCCGA